Molecule: long non-coding RNA, 525 nt
Organism: Myodes glareolus (Bank vole)
Lineage: Eukaryota; Metazoa; Chordata; Mammalia; Rodentia; Cricetidae
Source: RefSeq, a predicted model, not a curated record
CAAAAGACAGCCGAGAGCUGGGUGCUGGGAAGAACUCGGGUACAGGGCUGGGUCCAGGGUCCGCAGAGGAGGAGCUGAGGAGGCCCUGCCAUGUCACAGUCUUGGGAAUCACAAAGACAAUGGCAAGCGGGCUCAGGACAGAAACCCCAUCCUGUCUGUCAGUCGGGAUUCUCUGGGGCAACACAGAAGAGGAAAGGCGUUCACUUGGCUUACAACUCCGGACUACAGUCCAUUACUAUGAAGGAAGUCAAGACCAGAACCUAAAGCAUCGUGGACCCAUAACCAAUCUCUUCUAACUUUAGGUUUUAUCUACAAAAUGAAUUGGUACUAUGUACACAUACACAUCUCUAUGUGUGCACAGAGAUGCACAGAGAUGCUGAGAAGUUAUAAGAACACUGGAGAUGGGGGAGUAGCUCAGUGGGACUUGCCUAGUGUACGUGGAGCUUUGGGUUCCAUCCCCAGUGCUGCAAACAAGAAUAAAUUAAAGAUAAUGGAUGGACAGCAAACACUGAAAAGAUCUCAAUA